CUGAGUACGGCGGAACACGUGAAAUUCCGUCGGAAUCCGGGAGGACCAUCUCCCAAGGCUAAAUACUCCCUAGUGACCGAUAGUGAACCAGUACCGUGAGGGAAAGGUGAAAAGCACCCCGGAAGGGGAGUGAAACAGUUCCUGAAACCGUGUGCCUACAAGUAGUUAGAGCCCGUUAAUGGGUGAUAGCGUGCCUUUUGUAGAAUGAACCGGCGAGUUACGAUUUGUUGCAAGGUUAAGCGGAAAAAGCGGAGCCGUAGCGAAAGCGAGUCUGAAUAGGGCGCAUAAGUAACAGGUCGUAGACCCGAAACCAGGUGAUCUACCCAUGUCCAGGAUGAAGGUAAGGUAAUACUUACUGGAGGUCCGAACCCACGCACGUUGAAAAGUGCGGGGAUGAGGUGUGGGUAGCGGAGAAAUUCCAAUCGAACUUGGAGAUAGCUGGUUCUCUCCGAAAUAGCUUUAGGGCUAGCCUCGAGGUAAAGAGUCAUGGAGGUAGAGCACUGUUUGGACUAGGGGCCCUUCUCGGGUUACCGAAUUCAGAUAAACUCCGAAUGCCAUGUACUUAUACUCGGGAGUCAGACUGCGAGUGAUAAGAUCCGUAGUCGAAAGGGAAACAGCCCAGACCACCAGUUAAGGUCCCCAAAUAUAUGUUAAGUGGAAAAGGAUGUGGGGUUGCUUAGACAACCAGGAUGUUGGCUUAGAAGCAGCCACCAUUGAAAGAGUGCGUAAUAGCUCACUGGUCGAGUGACCCCGCGCCGAAAAUGUACCGGGGCUAAACAUAUUACCGAAACUGUGGAUGAACCUCUUUAGAGGUUCGUGGUAGGAGAGCGUUCUAAGGGCGGUGAAGUCAGACCGGAAGGACUGGUGGAGCGCUUAGAAGUGAGAAUGCCGGUAUGAGUAGCGAAAGAAGGGUGAGAAUCCCUUCCACCG
Molecule: ribosomal RNA, 930 nt
Filed under: Listeria monocytogenes
Lineage: Bacteria; Bacillati; Bacillota; Bacilli; Caryophanales; Listeriaceae
Description: partial 23S ribosomal RNA
Rfam family: Bacterial large subunit ribosomal RNA
Source: RNAcentral